UACAGACCUGAUCAGUUCCGUUACAGGGACGCAGCACUUGUCCUUGGGGUGGUGGCACAUUGCGGGGAAAUAGUUCCUGAAUAGUGCAUUUCAAUCAUGUGUGGUAUCGUAUGGCAGAGUUUGCCCGAGACGAUCCACAGCGCAUACACUGUGAGAGACUUCUAGCCUCUUAAAUGGUCAUCAAGAUAACAUGAUGUUCCCAAAAAUGCUGCUCAGUCACUGUUUGGAUUUCUUUCAGAAGGAUGUAGAGCAAAAGCAGGAGCAGAAGUGAAUGAAGGGAAGGAAAGUGGUCACUUCAUCAGUAACAUCGUAAUAUCUGUGAACUGUUCAAGAGGAAAGAGUUCCUGAAGCAGGCUGUGCACAACUGCAUCUCCAAACUGCUGAAAAGUCCAUGUUCCUGCCUCCUAAUGUAGAACAUCAGCAAGGAGCUGGAUGUGGAUGCG
Long non-coding RNA from Clarias gariepinus (North African catfish), 443 nucleotides. RefSeq lists it as uncharacterized. Lineage: Eukaryota; Metazoa; Chordata; Actinopteri; Siluriformes; Clariidae. The transcript has 3 exons. The record is from RefSeq and is a predicted model, not a curated record.